This 66-nucleotide transfer RNA is filed under the name Neanthes glandicincta. Its description in RNAcentral is "tRNA-Pro". It matches the Rfam family "tRNA". Rfam says of the family: Transfer RNA (tRNA) molecules are approximately 80 nucleotides in length. Their secondary structure includes four short double-helical elements and three loops (D, anti-codon, and T loops). RNAcentral also lists the same sequence under 1 other name. The record is from RNAcentral. Lineage: Eukaryota; Metazoa; Annelida; Polychaeta; Phyllodocida; Nereididae.
CAGACUAUAGUUUAAUAAAAACAUUAGCUUUGGGAGCUAAAAUUCAGGAAUUCUCCUGUAGUCUGA